Molecule: ribosomal RNA, 236 nt
Filed under: uncultured bacterium
Lineage: Bacteria
Description: partial 16S ribosomal RNA
Rfam family: Bacterial small subunit ribosomal RNA
Source: RNAcentral
CGGGUGAGUAACGCGUAGGUAACCUGCCUUGUAGCGGGGGAUAACUAUUGGAAACGAUAGCUAAUACCGCAUAACAAUGGGUGACCCAUGUCAUUCAUUUGAAAGGGGCAACUGCUCCACUACAAGAUGGACCUGCGUUGUAUUAGCUAGUAGGUGAGGUAACGGCUCACCUAGGCGACGAUACAUAGCCGACCUGAGAGGGUGAUCGGCCACACUGGGACUGAGACACGGCCCAG